UAGGUGAAUUUUCCUGUCAGCAAGCUUUCC
Molecule: non-coding RNA, 30 nt
Filed under: Rattus norvegicus (Norway rat)
Lineage: Eukaryota; Metazoa; Chordata; Mammalia; Rodentia; Muridae
Source: RNAcentral